UGUGAGACCUGAGUGGAUCAGAACCUUUUCCUCUGGUUAAAUAACUCUGAUCAUUAAAACAUCUCCACUGAGGAGAUCUUGGUGCAGAGUUCUCCUGGACUUCAUCUUGAAGGGGACCAGAACUUCUCAAGGAGACAGUUUUGUGUCUCUCAGUCCACCUAACCCUGGACUCUCAGGUCCUCCAGGUGGACCAGCUGUUACCAUGGUAGCAGUGGGCUCAGUUCUACUAGAACUGUUCUGAGGUGUCCAUGAACACGUCCUGCAGCAGGAACUGAGCUGGACCUCGGCUCAGGACAAGAACAGACAGGAAGAUCAGAAGCUGUCAGACAGCAGAGAGUCUGCAGGUCCAACAUGCUGCAGUCCUCCCAGAACCAGAACCUGAAUGAUCCAGGUAGUCUGGAUGGAAACAGUGGAGGGAGGAAGCAAAGGGAGCAGAGGCUGAACUGUGGAGGAAAACCUGGAGUCAUUCUGCUAAAAUCAGUGAUUCAGUCAACAGACACAGCAGAGAAUGAAACAUCUAGCAGCUUCUGGUGCUUCUGGCUUCUUGAUGAACAUUUACUGACCUGGAGGCACAUCUGUCAAGUCUCCUGGAGCAGCGAGGAUCGUUGGACUCACAGCAACAGAGGAGACGCCAGAAACAAACCUUCAUGAGGACUUAGUAAAACCUGCUUUAACUGAUGUGGUUCUGGUCCAGUAGAACCCAGCUGGGCUGCUGCUGAUUUCUCCCCUUCAUCAAGUCCUGACUCAGCAGUUUUGCUCUUUAUGUCCAAGUUUCUGACUGAAACAUCAGAGUUCAGAGAGAAAGUGUUUUGGUGAGCAGCAGUGUCUGAUAAAGAGGUUAAUAAUGAGGAUUAGCUGCUGAAUGACUGGAUGAAGUCAGACUGUAGAUGUUGCUGGUUGUGUGUUGCUGAUGCUGGAGCUGAUGUGUUGCUGACUCUCCUCCUCUGUCUCCUCUCACAGGGAGAAGAUGAUCUGCAGGAUCCUGCUGCUCAUCAUCCUCAACUCAUGUCUCUGUGCAGCAACAUUUGUAGUGAAUGUGACACAGAGCUCCUAUCAGGCAGAGGAGAACCACAGCAUCACUCUGGAGUGGACCUUCACCACCACACCUGAUCGACCCUGGAGAGAGCUGGUCAUCUACUGCAGCUUGUUAACUCCAAGGAAAGAAUUAGUCCUGUAUCAUUUCCAUCAGGUCCAUGAUGGUGUUGAGGUGUCAGAGUCUCAGGAUGAACAGUUUUCAGGACGAGUCCAGAGUGACAAAGACGUCCUCAGAGAAGGACGAAUCAGACUCCAUGUGUCCAGACUGAGGACUGAAGACUCUGGUCUGUAUCUGUGUGAUGUUCAGACUGAUGAUGGUUCUGGUUCUGGAUCCUGUCAUCUCAACGUUUCUGCAGCUGCUGAUCAGCUCCAACCUCACACUGAGAAUCCACAACCAGACCAUCGCGGAAGGAGCGGUCUUUA
Long non-coding RNA from Fundulus heteroclitus (mummichog), 1458 nucleotides. RefSeq lists it as uncharacterized. NCBI's taxonomy places the organism in Eukaryota, Metazoa, Chordata, Actinopteri, Cyprinodontiformes, Fundulidae. The transcript has 5 exons. The record is from RefSeq and is a predicted model, not a curated record.